Molecule: long non-coding RNA, 242 nt
Filed under: Olea europaea subsp. europaea
Lineage: Eukaryota; Viridiplantae; Streptophyta; Magnoliopsida; Lamiales; Oleaceae
Source: RNAcentral
CCUCAUUGAUACAGGACGAGGAGCUAGUUUUCCUUCGUUUUUGAGGCCGAGGAGAUUCUUCUGGUUUAUUCUGCAGAGAAGCAGAACUUGGUUUGAGUCAUCUUCUAUUCAGAAACAACAGUGCAAAGUUUUUAUUUGUUGUUUAAGCUUAACAUUUGGUGCAUUAUUUGAAUCUUCGGUAAAAUUAAUCAAUAAAUUGAUAAUCCGCUUCAAAUUUAUCGAGAACAAGACUUUAUAUGCCU